GUCGAUGUGAUGUCCUUCCUUAUCUGUAUGGGGUUGCCAAUCUCACGCUGGAACAAUGGCAGAAUAUCAAAGAAGCAAGCUUCAAGCAAUUCGUUAGAAGACUCUGCCAUUCCGUGCCAUGUGAAUGUCUUCAUCUUCAGUUUCUGAUUUUGAGCGUUGUAAUAAAAAUACUUCCUAUUAUUUUGAUUAUGAAUAGUUGGUAGAAUAUUUCAUCUUCAGCAUUAAGCAUAAAUGUCCUCUUUUCAAAAUCAGACACUUUCAAAAACAAUUCUUAAUUUUUUGGGGGGGAUUAUUCAUUGAGCUUUUCAGGUAAUACUCAUGUUAGAAAUUAAAGUAUGUUAAAACAAAUACUUUAUGGAAAACUUGUAAAAUUCUGAAAAUGAUUUUAUUAUUAAACUUGUGUUUGUUUGCAUGCAGAAAGUUGGAGAGUAAA
Non-coding RNA from Chiloscyllium plagiosum (whitespotted bambooshark), 433 nucleotides. The record is from RefSeq and is a predicted model, not a curated record. NCBI's taxonomy places the organism in Eukaryota, Metazoa, Chordata, Chondrichthyes, Orectolobiformes, Hemiscylliidae.